RNAcentral lists this ribosomal RNA (405 nucleotides) under uncultured bacterium. RNAcentral's name for it is "partial 16S ribosomal RNA". It matches the Rfam family "Bacterial small subunit ribosomal RNA", at positions 30 to 526 of the family's 1533-position model. The record is from RNAcentral.
AUUGAAUGCUAGCGGGAUGCUUUACACAUGCAAGUCGAACGAGUGGCGGACGGGUGAGUAAUAUAUCGGAACGUGCCUAGUAUCGGGGGAUAACUACUCGAAAGCGUGGCUAAUACUGCAUACUAUUGGAGCGGCCGUUAGCGGAUUAGCUAGUUGGUGGGGUAAAGGCUCACCAAGGCAACGAUCCGUAGCUGGUGUGAGAGGACGACCAGCCACACUGGGACUGAGACACGGCCCAGACUCCUACGGGAGGCAGCAGUAGGGAAUUUUGGACAAUGGGGGAAAGCCUGAUCCAGCCAUCCCGCGUGUAUGAGAAGGCUUUCGGGUUGUAAAGUUCUGUUGGCAGAGAAGCGGUAUCUGCAGAAUAAGCACCGGCUAACUACGUGCCAGCAGCCGCGGUAAUAC